This 548-nucleotide ribosomal RNA is filed under the name uncultured bacterium. Its description in RNAcentral is "bacterial SSU rRNA". It matches the Rfam family "Bacterial small subunit ribosomal RNA", at positions 355 to 896 of the family's 1533-position model. The record is from RNAcentral.
UGGGGAAUUUUGGACAAUGGACGAAANUCUGAUCCAACCAUGCCGCGUGCGGGAAGAAGGCCUUCGGGUUGUAAACCGCUUUUGUCAGGGAAGAAAUCCUUUGAGCUAAUACCUCGGGGGGAUGACGGUACCUGAAGAAUAAGCACCGGCUAACUACGUGCCAGCAGCCGCGGUAAUACGUAGGGUGCAAGCGUUAAUCGGAAUUACUGGGCGUAAAGCGUGCGCAGGCGGUUAUGUAAGACAGAGGUGAAAUCCCCGGGCUCAACCUGGGAACUGCCUUUGUGACUGCAUAGCUUGAGUGCGGCAGAGGGGGAUGGAAUUCCGCGUGUAGCAGUGAAAUGCGUAGAUAUGCGGAGGAACACCGAUGGCGAAGGCAAUCCCCUGGGCCUGCACUGACGCUCAUGCACGAAAGCGUGGGGAGCAAACAGGAUUAGAUACCCUGGUAGUCCACGCCCUAAACGAUGUCAACUGGUUGUUGGGAAGGUUCCUUCUCAGUAACGUAGCUAACGCGUGAAGUUGACCGCCUGGGGAGUACGGCCGCAAGGUUG